UUCGUAGGCGGUGCGGCAAGUCGGAAGUGAAAUCUCCAGGCUCAACUUGGAGGCUGCUCCCGAAACUGCCGUGCUAGAGUGCGGGAGAGGCCAGUGGAAUUGCAGGUGUAGCGGUGAAAUGCGUAGAUAUCUGCAGGAACACCCGUGGCGAAGGCGGCUGGCUGGACCGCAACUGACGCUGAGGAACGAAAGCUAGGGAGCAAACA
RNAcentral lists this ribosomal RNA (206 nucleotides) under uncultured bacterium. RNAcentral's name for it is "partial 16S ribosomal RNA". It matches the Rfam family "Bacterial small subunit ribosomal RNA", at positions 568 to 774 of the family's 1533-position model. The record is from RNAcentral.